GACGAACGCUGGCGGCGUGCUUAACACAUGCAAGUCGAGCGAUGAAGCUCCUUCGGGAGUGGAUUAGCGGCGGACAGGUGAGUAACACGUGGGUAACCUGCCUCAUAGAGGGGAAUAGCCUUCCGAAAGGAAGAUUAAUACCGCAUAAGAUUGUAGUACCGCAUGGUAUAGCAAUUAAAGGAGUAAUCCGCUAUGAGAUGGACCCGCGUCGCAUUAGCUAGUUGGUGAGGUAACGGCUCACCAAGGCGAAGAUGCGUAGCCGACCUGAGAGGGUGAUCGGCCACAUUGGGACUGAGACACGGCCCAGACUCCUACGGGAGGCAGCAGUGGGGAAUAUUGCACAAUGGGGGAAACCCUGAUGCAGCAACGCCGCGUGAGUGAUGACGGUCUUCGGAUUGUAAAGCUCUGUCUUCAGGGACGAUAAUGACGGUACCUGAGGAGGAAGCCACGGCUAACUACGUGCCAGCAGCCGCCGUAA
RNAcentral lists this ribosomal RNA (478 nucleotides) under uncultured bacterium. Its description in RNAcentral is "partial 16S ribosomal RNA". It matches the Rfam family "Bacterial small subunit ribosomal RNA", at positions 28 to 523 of the family's 1533-position model. The record is from RNAcentral.